Heterocephalus glaber (naked mole-rat) is the source of this 6589-nucleotide non-coding RNA. NCBI's taxonomy places the organism in Eukaryota, Metazoa, Chordata, Mammalia, Rodentia, Bathyergidae. The record is from RefSeq and is a predicted model, not a curated record.
UCUGGAGGGAGCCCUGAAGUGCCGCAGGACCCGCAGGCCAGCCCCGAACGUGGCAGGGGCAGCUCCGCGUCGUUUGUCUCUGGCUUCGACCCCACUCGCGGUGCCGCCGCACCCUCGCUGCCGUCCAGGGAGUCAGCCUCGCGCCUUCUGUUCAUCUUGACUUAGUCCCUCGGUAGGAGACGGGCAGUCAGACUGUUGCUGCAGGUGACGCCCGCUGGGAGCCGGAUGGCGAUGUCAGUUUCCAGCAAGAGCUGUCAUUUCUCCCCCCCCCCGCCCCCCAGCAAUCCCAGUCUUAUUUAGAGUGAAAGAUGACACUUUUUUUGUUUUGUACUGGGCAUCGAACUUGGGUCCUUGCGCUUACGAGGCAGGCGGCCGAACCACUGAGGUAAAUCCCGGGCCCUGACACUUUUUUUUUUUUUUGGUACCGGGGAUCGAACUCGGGUCCUUGCACUUGCGCACCAGGCGGCGAAACCACUGAGCUAAAUCCCCGGCUCCUAGAUGACACACUUUUAAAAGAAAGUAUCUACAGUUCUGGAAAGGUCACCUGAGAUUAAAAUAUGAGAGGUUCAGGGGCGAGGGCCACGACUUUAUGCCAACAGCACGGUGUGCAUUUAAUCUCUGAAAAGCUCACUCCUGCCUCAGCCUCCCGAGUGCCGGGAUGACAGGCGUGUGCCACUCACUGUGCGUGUCCCGUCAGUGGUUCCGGGGAACGUGGAAGAGUAUGUCACGCAGGGCACACAGCCGGGAGCAGCGUGCUGAGUGGGACCCUCCAGUCCAUGCAGUGCCCCCUUGCUGCCCAGGCAGGCCUGGCUCGGGCCGCCAGUCGUGAGAGCCGCCCGCCUCGCAUUGCCGGGUUCGCGUGGCGCGCAUCAGGCUGGCAGGACCCCACCCCCACCCCGGCAGUCAAGCCUGCCCUCCCUCCGCAGCCCGAGCCCAGGCCUGAGCCAGUCACAGCCAAGCUCCGCGAAUGACGCUCGCUCACGUGACAGCAGCCCGGGACGCACGGGGGCGCCAGGGCACAGCGCAGGGGCGGCGCUCUCGCCCUUGUGAGCGCGGGGCACCGUGGGAAGUGCAGGAGCAGAAGAGGCCUCACCCCGUGACCUCGCAGCCAUGGUAACAGCGCCGCGCACGGCCGCCGCCGGUGAGGUGAGGCUGGAGCGAGCCGGUGCCAGCCUCGCGGGAGAGCGCCGACCUCUGCUGAGCGCGGUCUCGAAGUGCUCCAGGGUUGCUUCCUCUGGGCAUCCGGUAGGGAGCUCCUGGUUCUCAGUCUUUUUAGAACUUGCUGGAGGUCCGUGACUUCCGGGGAGCGACGGGACUCUCCAGAACCCUCGAGCUCCAGGUUGCAGGGCCAAGGAGCUAGCGGGUCUCAGGAAAUCCAAGUCGCUCUGGCCGGCUUAUGGUCUUUGAUUGCCUGAGGCGUGGGCGCAGCUCGGGGUGGCAGUCACUGUGCUCCUGAGUCAGUGCUGCUGGUUCCUGUCCCCGGCUGGGGUGACUGCACCUGCCAAGACCUCCGCGGUGGCCGUGACCCAGUUAGGGCAGCGCCAUGCGGCUCGUUUCCUGGUCGUCCUGUCCAAGGAGCCGGCCCGGGUUAUUCCUCCCGUCCAGGUUCCUUGGCAACGAACCCACCUGUGCUGCCCUUGAAAAAGAGGCCGUUUUCAGGGUUCAGGGCGACUCCCGGGGCUCGCGGACUGGGUGUCAGCAGGCACUGGGUCCAGGCUGGGGGCAGGAUGGGCCCCGCUGCCCAGGGAAGACUGCUACACCCCAGCCCACAGACGUCUGCCUGUCUUUCCACCCCACCCUGUUCCAAGUUCCUCCGAGGAAGUGACCUCAGCCCACCUUCUGCCAGUGCCUGGGGCCGGGUGGCACACGGGGUGGAGCAGCCUCUUCCACUCUCUCCAUCUCUGUCUCUCUUUUGUCCUGGGGACUGAACCCAAGGCCUUCGCCCUGAACUACAUCCCCAGCCCUUUUUAAUGUUGUUUUGUGUAGCCCAGACUGGCCUGGACUUGCAGUCUGCUGCCUUUUAGCGCUCAUGGGUGCUCUGUAGACGCUGCUUCUCCAGCUGGGGCACCCUGGGCCCCCAAGACUGCAGCACCACAAGCUUAUCUCCUCUGGGCUCCUCAGGACAAUCAGUAGACUCAUCAGUCCCAGCUUUGACGGGUGUGUAGUGUUUGGUGACUACAGGGCACACGUCGAUGGUAUGUGAGUUUCACAAGAACCCGAUGAAGGCAAGUGGACCAGAAGUGUCCCCACCCCAAGACGCACAAUAGAGACCAGGGCUGGCGCGUGUGAGCCCUGGGUUCCAUCGCAGCAUUGCAGAAAAAAAAAAAAAAAUAACUUGCUCAAGACUGAGUAAGUGGUAAAGGCAGGACUAGAAUUCAGGCCACCUAAUUCUUCAGUAUUUGUUUUGUUUUAUUUUGUUUCAGAGUUCUUGCAUGAAUAAAAAAUAUGUAACUGGUAGGUGUCACACUAUUCAUUUUUAGGGGGUUGACUUUAAACUGACUUAACAACUUUAAUUUCCAAAUGUUUUAAUUUUUGUACAUUUAUUGCUUUAUCAUCGAUUCUAAGUCCUAAGAUAAUAUUUUUAUUUAUUUAACUUCUCUAUAUGUCAUAGUUGUGUAAUUUAGGAUUUACCAACUAUAUCACACCUGCAGUUGUCACCUUCCAGGAAGCCAUCUCACGAGGGCAGGGACGUUUGGCAGUGUCUUUCACGCAUGAACUUCGACCCCAAGAAGAGCCCAACACACUGUAGGCCUCACAUAUUUGUUGAAUCUACUUUUGAUUCCACACAGAUGCAUGCUUGUAAUCAACACCUACUUGGUGCGUUUUGUAGGUUGGCGCCUCCUGGUGUCUGCUCCGGGGAAUCCCACAUCCCCUCACACUGUUCCUACUCACACAGGUGUGCGUCUGUAUACAUGUGGAUAGAUAAAUGCACACAGAUGAACACUUUUUCCCAUGUAUGAAAAGGAUUUUUUUAAAAAAUCAGAUAUUGUUGGAAUAAACUUUCUCAUAUAUAAUAGUAUAAGAUAAGAACCUACCUGGAUCACUGAUUUAGCUGGAAUCAAGGGCUUGGUUUUUGUUUUUUAGUACCAGAGAUUGAACUCGGGACCUCGCACUUGCAAGGCAGGCAGCAGCACCACUGAGCUAAAUCCCCCGCCCUGAUUUAGCUGGAGAAAAGACAAAAUUCUAAGACUUUUAAGAAAUUGCAAUGUUAAUGUUUUAUAUCAUGUGGAUUCAUGGUGUCAUCCGAGUUCUGUUGUCCACAAUAAUCAAUGAGCGUAAAAAAGCUGUAGAGAUUCAAAUCCACAGUGCACAAGUGGACAGCAAAAGCUUGAAGCUACGGUGUCUCGUACAGGACAUGCCAGGACGUCUUCCCAGGGGUCCGUCCCAGCAAUGAGUGGCUCUGCCCUCCAGUGUCCUCCUGCACCUGAAUCACUUGGCCUUUCCUUUUCUGUCGUUGAGCACAGAGGCCUGAGCAUCUUCCUUGUGUUUUUUAAAACAAAUUAUUGAAAAUUUAAAUGCAGGUAGGAAAAUGAGAACAUUUUCUAUAGUCUGUUCACCGAGGUAUGAUUACCGUUAAUCUCUAAAUAUAUUGGGCCUCUCCUCCCCCACCCAAACUAAUUGCCUUAUUUUUCUAUAUCUACAAAAGUAAGAAUAAUUCAAAGGUGCAUACGAUAGUAAUUUCCUCUUUCCCUCUCUCUGUGCUCCCCCCUCACACUCCAAUCUCCACGGGUAACCACCGCUAGUUUAUAUUGUGCAUUUAUCUAGAAUUUUCUAUGCAUGGAAACACUUAUUUUUCUCAAAAGCAAGGUAUCAUAAAAAAAAAAAAAGCAAGGUAUCAUAAUACGAUUCUGCAACUUUUCUUCUCUCAAAAAACAUCUCAAGUAUCAUUGGAGCUGUUUCUGGUUUUGAUUUCUGUAUUUAGUUAUGAGAAUCCAUCAUUAUUUGUAAAACCAAUCUCCUCUGAAUGGACACUGUUAUUCCCAGCUGAACAUGCUGUUGGAAGGAAGACCCCACUGGAGGAGGUGAGUCAUUGGUCUGUCUCUCAUUGGUGCUCUUUCCCCAGGGCUCUGCUGCUCAGCCACCAUGAACUAAGCAUCUUUCCUCCACCAGGCCCUUCUGUGAUGAUGUUCUUGCCGUCGGGCCUGCCGAUCAUGGACCUAACCCUCUGAAAUCGCAUCCCAGUCAGUGGAUGUGAAGUCGUACUUUACUGUGGCUUUGAGUUCUAAUUCCCUAAUGACUAAUGAUGUUGAAAUUGUUUGUGCUGAUUGGCCAUUUGUCCAUCUUCUUUAGAGAAACAUCUCUCCCAAUUCUUGCUUUUUUGAGUGGAUUGUUUUAUUAUUGAGUUGUGAAAAUUCUUUGCACAUCUGGACACAGAUCACUUAUCAGACAUCUGAUUUGCCAGUAUGCUAUCGCAUUGUAUGCGUUGUCAUUUCGUGGAAUGAGCUGGGACAUAUUCCUUCUUCUUCUGUCUUUGGAAGCUCGUUAUUACUUCUCUGAAUGUUUGGUGGAAGUAACUCGCCAGUGAAGCCAUGUGGGUCGGCUUUUUUGUGGGAAGUUCUCACAUUCUCAUUGUGAACGACCAGACUUCUCUUUCUCUGUGACGUUAAGGUGAGAUUUUUAUAUUCUAAAUGGAGAGCCAAUUAUUCUAAUGCCACUUACUGACUAAUCCACCUGUUCCCACCAACUUCAGACACGCAGACAACUGAUGUAGACGCUGGGGACCCCGACUGCCACUUAGCAAGGCCAGUCUGCUGCUUUGGCAAGGGAGGCACUCUGUGCUGGGGGGCCUGGGACACGGGUCCUGCCUUCCCGCUGUCACUGCCGACGUGUUGGCAGUCUGAACCCCCAGGGCUUUGUCCUUAGGCUGGAAGCCCAUUUGCUGGACACCUAAUAGCCAUACUGCUCUGGGAGCCCAAGCUGCCAGCAGCGUCUAGUCCCCGGGUGGCUCUCAGUGACUUGACCUUGGCGUGCACUUGUCCCUCUGCCCUUCCCCGUGCUCGCCUUCUUUUCAGACCUUAGACUUGGGCUCCCUUACCCAGGGGCAGCGUCCAUGACCUCCACCCUGCAGAGCUCACCUGGGGUCACCUGUGUGGACCCUGCCUGCCAUGGCCUGAGCACUUCCCUCUCAGCCUGAUCCUGUGCCCCAGGCGCUAAACGGAGCAGGAGGGGAUGGCGAGAAGGGACCAGGAUGGAGCCUGGGGGGCAGCAGCACCGAGACGCAGGAGGUGCGCUGGAGACAGGACAGAGGGCAGAGGGUCUCACUACGUACCCCAGGCUGGCCUCGAACUCACUGCAGCCCAUUACUGCUUCUGCUCUUCUCUUCUGGCCGUCACCCCUGGGCGGCACAGCGGGCCGCUUCCCGUGUUACCCGUGGGACGGAGUCGUGGCAGGACCUGGGUGGCCGCACGUGGGUUACGAGCAGACGCGGGCCACUCACUCAGCAGCUGCGGCUUCCGACCUGGAGGUCUCCGUUGCCUGCGCUCCGCAGGCCGCAGAGCGGAACAAGACUGCACAUUGUAGUUACUGGAGGACAGCGGCGCAGCAUACCGACAGCUCGAAACCCUGGAAUGAGGACUCACGGGUUCCUGCACUCUUCCCUCCGUUCUGGUGCGUGCCUGAAAAAGGACGCGAAAAAGGUUGAAACAAAACAAAACAAGGGCCAGUUCCAUCGCGCAGUCUCCCAGCCUUGCAUUCCUCCUCCCUUUAUAGCAAUGCUGCAAGAAGUUGUUUCCACAGUGCAGACCCGGCUGUUUCUUCCUCAUCCUCCCACCUGCUCUCUACCCUGAGCUGCACUCAUUCCCUCCUCCUGUUUGCACCCCUUAAUUCCAGCCUUCCCCUCCAUUCCACCAACGCUGCUUCUCCACAGGCCACUGUGUAAAUCAGGUGACUCUUUCUCUGUCCUCUUUUUCCUUGAACGUCAGCAAGACGAAGGUUGCACUCUCCAUCUGGGGAGGAUCUCGGUGUGGCUGUCAGCAGCGUCACUGUCAUUCUGCUCUUGGCAGAAGGUGGGACUUGCGCUGGUGCUCAGGACUCUCAGCCCCACUGAGGAGACAGGAGGAGGAAAGGCAGCUGGGCAGGCACUCUGGCCGUGUCCCUUGCAGGAAUCCAGAGACUUUCGACCGGGUCCAAGUGCAUCAGGGAGCAGCGCUGCAGAUGGGUUUGGGGAACCUACACGUGGAAGGAGCCGGAAGGGGCUUUACAUACUGUGGGAUCACAGCCUGAACAGAGAGAAACACCCUAUCCCGGCAGCGGAGGAACAGUGGCAUCGCGCCGCCUCCCAGGUGGGGCUCGGCCUGCAACGCUGAGGACCGGUGCAGAGCUGCGUGCGGGGAGAAAGCUCGCGAGGGUCAGAGGAGGGGCCAUCGUUACAGAACGCAAGUGCAGCUCGGCCAGAAGGCCUGGGUAGGGGCCUUGCUAACCACGGGAGGAAGGGGUCAGCCGCAGAGUGGAAGGUGAGAGAGGAAGGACUUUUUGUAUCGGGGAUGGAAGCCCGGGCCUUGGUAUCAGCUAAACGCCCAGCCCCUUUAUUUAUUUUGGUCCAUGGUAAUGUUAAAUGUUUUUAAAUAAAGUUUUAUUUUAUCUGCUUCCC